AAAGGAAUUGACGGGGGAGCGCACAACCGGUGGAGCAUGUGGUUUAAUUCGAUACGAAGCGAAAGACCUCACCUAGGUUUGACAUGUAACUGCACAUUCUAUGAAAGUAGAACUUCUUCGAGAGUGUUACACAGCUGUUGCAUGGCUGUCGUCAGCUCGUGUCGUGAGACGUCCGCUUAAGUGCGGUAACGAGCGCAACCCCUGCCGCGUGUUAAAUAAUCACGUGGGACUGCCUUACAACAAGUAGGGAGGAAGGAGGGGACGACGUCAAGUCAGCAUGACGCUUACAUCUAGGGCCACACACAUCCUACAAUGGGAAGUAACAACGGGUCGCGACGGGGUAACCCUGAGCCAAUCCUUUAAACCUUCCCUCAGUUCAGAUUGAGGGCUGCAACCCGCCCUCAUGAAGUUGGAAUCGGUAGUAAUCGCAGGUCAGCAGACUGCGGUGAAUACGUUCUCGCUCCUUGUACACACCGCCCGU
This 481-nucleotide ribosomal RNA is filed under the name uncultured bacterium. RNAcentral's name for it is "bacterial SSU rRNA". It matches the Rfam family "Bacterial small subunit ribosomal RNA", at positions 903 to 1397 of the family's 1533-position model. The record is from RNAcentral.